AGGGGAGUAGCUCAAUUGGCAGAGUACCGGUCUCCAAAACCGGGUGUUGAGGGUUCAAAUCCCCCCUCCCCUGCCA
Molecule: transfer RNA, 76 nt
Filed under: Verrucomicrobiota bacterium
Lineage: Bacteria; Pseudomonadati; Verrucomicrobiota
Also listed under: 2 other names
Description: Verrucomicrobia bacterium (groundwater metagenome) tRNA-Trp
Rfam family: tRNA
About the family: Transfer RNA (tRNA) molecules are approximately 80 nucleotides in length.
Source: RNAcentral